AGUGAACGCUGGCGGUAGACCUAACACAUGCAAGUCGAACGGCAGCACAGUAAGAGCUUGCUCUUACGGGUGGCGAGUGGCGGGCGGGUGAGGAAUACAUCGGAAUCUACUUUUUCGUGGGGGAUAACGUAGGGAAACUUACGCUAAUACCGCAUACGACCUACGGGUGAAAUCAGGGGAUCUUCGGACCUUUCGCGAUUCAAUUAGCCGAUGUCGGAUUAGCUAGUUGGCUGGGUAAGGGCCCACCAAGGCGACGCUACGUAGCUGGUCUGAGAGGAUGAUCAGCCACACUGGAACUGAGACACGGUCCAGACCCCUACGGGAGGCAGCAGUGGGGAAUAUUGGACAAUGGGCGCAAGCCUGAUCCAGCCAUACCGCGUGGGUGAAGAAGGCCUUCGGGUUGUAAAGCCCUGUUGUUGGGAAAGAAAAGCAGCAGGUUAAUACCCCGCUGUUCUGACGGUACCCAAAGAAUAAGCACCGGCUAACUUCGUG
This 492-nucleotide ribosomal RNA is filed under the name uncultured bacterium. RNAcentral describes it as "partial 16S ribosomal RNA". It matches the Rfam family "Bacterial small subunit ribosomal RNA", at positions 29 to 507 of the family's 1533-position model. The record is from RNAcentral.